This is a long non-coding RNA of Dermochelys coriacea (leatherback sea turtle), 1322 nucleotides long. RefSeq lists it as uncharacterized. Lineage: Eukaryota; Metazoa; Chordata; Testudines; Dermochelyidae. The transcript has 2 exons. The record is from RefSeq and is a predicted model, not a curated record.
ACCCCCUUUCAGGUAGUUGAAAGCAGCUAUCAAAUCCCCCCUCAUUCUCUCUUCUGCAGACUAAAUAAUCCCAGUUCCCUCAGCCUCUCCUCAUAAAUCAAUGAAAAGACAAUAAACUAUUACCCCUCUGUACUCAGCCUGUGCUGUAUGAGUCAAGCUGGCAUCUUUCCAUCAUUCACUUACACCUGCAAAACUGAGUUACAAUGGCGUAGCUCCAUGAUCCUCAUUUAAGCCAACAGUGACUGCACUGCAAGGGUUUGCACAGGUGUAACUGAUUGGAACAUAGUAAACUGUUCUGCUGAUGAUGCACAAGAAGGAAUAGAAUUAAGCUGACAUGCUCAUAGCUGUGCUGGCUGUGCAGGAAUAAGGGGAGGAAAAAGCGGUAAAAAUGUACUGCUGUGACAAAAGUCAGCAGAUAUAAUUCUAAAUACACAUAAGGAGAAAGCGGAUCUGUUGAGUGAGAGAGUGCCAUUUUACAUUGUUGCAGACAAGAGCCGUGCGUUAAUCACCUUUGCAAAGCACUUUGAGAUCCAUAGAUGAGAAGUGUUAUUAUAUGAGUGCAAAGUGUUAUCACUUGUCAUUUCAUCUGAUGUGGGAUCAUCACAAAUCAAUGCAGCUGCUUGAAAAACAAGCAGAACAUCAGUAGCUGCAUGCUCUGUUACAAGGUCCUGGCUGAGGGUGUUAGUUAGCUAGCAUAUUAAUUUUUUUCUUUCCAUUGUCCUCCAAAAGAUGCUUUCUGACAUAGAAACUUAAAUCAAUUCUAAAUAAAUUUGGGUGGGCAGCACUAUCAUGCUUGGAAAAAAAUCUGGGAUAUCACAUGCAUAGAAUCAAUCUGUUUUUCAUUCAGGCUCUUUUGCAGAACCAAAACCAGAAAACUAACAGGUUUCUCCCUCCUCCUUGAACUAGAGAACUUGGAAUCGUAUCUGAUGAUAUGCUGUAUUCUCUGGCUUAUAAUUAUCACAUAUAUUAUGUCCUGCAGGGCAACUUCCACUCAGUGACAUCAGUAGUUUACAUAGCAGUUGAACUAAGAAUAACCUUGAAGAGCUGACCCACAUCAGCCUCAUAACAAUGUAAACAGCUUGUAGCUCACAACACUCCUCUCUUUGCAUAAUUGCAAAAGGGCUUCACUUGGAAGAGGAAAAUGUUGAGUUCGCAAGACACUGCCCCAUAAUUCUUAGAGUUCACAAAGAUGAGAGAGAGAGAGGAAGUGGACUGGACUGUGGAGAAAGUGUUGAACCAGUUAAAAAGGAGGAAGAGAAACUACUAAUGAGUUGCUUCUCUAAAAGAACAGGGGUUGCGUAUGGCAGCAUUUUCAGGUGGGG